CUCCUCUUCCCAAAUCAUCCAUUUUUGUACAUAAGCUGAAGGAAAAUCAGGGAGAAUUUACUGUAUUCAGUGCUGCUAGACAUUUCCUCCCGCGAUACGGCCAGAAUUCCAGUCGAUUACGACGAGGGUUCGACACCGCGUUACAACCGGGUCGCUUCGUAAAAAAUCUUGUUACAUACUAGCAGAUUUACAUAAUCAUCGUUUCACGUUUCGUUCCGCAAAAACGUUCGCCGCGUUCCGGCGACUCUCGCUCGUUUAUUAUUCGUUACGUCUCCCCGUGAAAAAGCGCCGGUUAGCAAACGAUACUCGUUUCAGAUGUCGCAUCUUCGGUCACGAUGCUGCGAACAGUGACGCCAUUCACUCUUCCCCUUUUAUUCACCUCGGCACACAUUCUCUUCCACCGCCUCGGAUUUACGUGCCACCGCGAAACUCGACUUUCCUACCGAUGAAUUCCAAUAUCCGCGGAUUAGCGCCCGCGAUCGAACGGAAAGAAAACAGCGUUUCUUAACAGACCAUUCACAGUUCGCAGGUGCGAUCCAGAAAUCGGCGAGACAUCGGUGGUGAAUCGACCGCGUCAAGGACUGCCCAAGAAUCGGAGAACGACGUCGGUUAUCGCGGCCGGCGCACAUGGCAGAGGAAUUCAGUCGCCGCCUAUAACGCAGAUAACUUAAUCGGGCGCGAUCCCCGAUUGCCGAUUGCUCGCUGGAAAAGUCACGUCGUUGGCCGAUUAACAGCCACUCGAGGAAGAAUUCGCAGUACAUACGACGGCGGUCGCGGCGAAUUGCUGUUCCGCGGACCGAUGUGGGACAGCAGCGGGACAGGUUUCUUCUGAUUGCAUAUUGCAUCUCGGCCGAGGGAGGCGCGAGUGAAGGGAACCGAGAGAAAUGCAAGGAAAACCUGUCCGAUGGCUGGCGAACGCCGAAAGAAAAUGAUGGCCGUCCGAGCGAAGAAUCCGCAGAAUUUAGGCGAACCGCCUUCGCGAGCUCUCGGGUCCAAGGAAAACGGCGCCAGCGGGCUCGGAUUCAUCGUUGUCCCCGGAAGAGGCGCCCUGCGUCCGACGACUCCGCGACCGGAGCCGUGAAAGCGUCGAGAGCAGGAUUGCGAUUCGAAAGCGGAAGCCUCGUGUCCGGUUCCGAAGGGAUUCUCUCUCUCUCUCUCUCUCUCUCUCUCUCUCUCUCUCUCUCUCUGCGGACUAUGGAAUCACAUGCGCCGAAUCAUGCGUCGAAGCUGGUUUCGCCUGGUUUGACUCACCGGACUCGGUCCUCGCGUCCAUUCGAUCCUGCCGAUCGCGACGACACGCGGUGAUCUAUCGUCCACGAUGAACCUCCUCGAAGUGGCCUCCCGAUCGGCGUCAAUCAAACGACCAUCGCGUGCUUUUUCUUAAUCCGUUCAAUAAAAGAGAACCGGCUGGAAGCGGAGGAGGAGGGGGUGGAAGAACCGUUCGCAGGGAUAAAGCUCUCUGACCAAGAACCAAGAUCGACUGAGCCACGAAAUUGGCCACGAACCAUCGCGUCGCGUCACGUCGCAUCGCCCGGUGUCGUUGUCCGAUCCCGAAGAAAUGUCGCGAGACUGUUCUGUACGGGGGCGCGUUGCCAACACUCUUUUGUAUUUACACGUGUACCGUGGACACAGCUGCGAGAAUCGCCGGCUCUCAACGAGCUUGCGCCCGUUCGUCAGGAUCGUCAGUGAUCUAGGAAUUCGCUUUCUGUGACCGAAAUCGUUUUAACGUUGUCUCAAGGUUCGAGAUUAUAGCACGGUAGAUCGCUGAAUUCGUGACGACGCCGGAUGUGUCGGCACGAAGCAUUACGGACGCUCAGAUUGUCCACUAAAAUGGAUAAU
Molecule: non-coding RNA, 1839 nt
Organism: Megalopta genalis
Lineage: Eukaryota; Metazoa; Arthropoda; Insecta; Hymenoptera; Halictidae
Source: RefSeq, a predicted model, not a curated record